GUCAUCAUGCUUUGAAAGUAGUUCUGAAUUAUCCUCAGCAGAUUGGUUUCUUCUCAUUCGAAAGAGACUUCUGUCACGAGACUUGGAUUGAGCUCUUCCUUUGAUACCAUACCAUAUCUUGCACUGCCAAAUCUAGAGCUAGAAACCCGAUUUGCAGACUUGAAAGUAGAUUCAACUCCAUCAAUCUCUCCCAGAAAUCCAGACUGUCCCUCUGUUCCAGCCAUAAGUUCCUUCAAAUUGCUCCGAAACCCCAAAUCUGAANNNNNCCUCCUUGAAUCCUUUACUGAUUGCAUAGCAACUUUACCAUCUGUACCAUCCAAAUUCUCCUCUCCAACACCAUCUGGUCUUGGACCAAACAGGUUAUUUCUCAACUCAAUUGGACGCCCCAUUGUCUCCACCAUCAUACAUGGAUUAUUGAAUCCAUUCCAUGAAUGAAGGGGAACCAAUUUACUCAAAGCAGUUAGCCAAUCAACAACCUCCUUCAUUGCUGGCCUCCUUUCCC
RNAcentral lists this unclassified non-coding RNA (502 nucleotides) under Hevea brasiliensis (rubber tree). The record is from RNAcentral. Lineage: Eukaryota; Viridiplantae; Streptophyta; Magnoliopsida; Malpighiales; Euphorbiaceae.